RNAcentral lists this transfer RNA (76 nucleotides) under Bacilli bacterium. RNAcentral's name for it is "tRNA-Phe". It matches the Rfam family "tRNA". Rfam says of the family: Transfer RNA (tRNA) molecules are approximately 80 nucleotides in length. The record is from RNAcentral. Lineage: Bacteria; Bacillati; Bacillota; Bacilli. RNAcentral also lists the same sequence under 2 other names.
GGCUUCAUAGCUCAGUCGGUAGAGCAAAGGACUGAAAAUCCUUGUGUCGCUGGUUCGAUUCCCGCUGGAGCCACCA